Molecule: ribosomal RNA, 253 nt
Filed under: uncultured bacterium
Lineage: Bacteria
Description: partial 16S ribosomal RNA
Rfam family: Bacterial small subunit ribosomal RNA
Source: RNAcentral
UACGUAGGUGGCGAGCGUUGUUCGGAAUUACUGGGCGUAAAGGGCGCGUAGGCGGUCGAACAAGUCAGCUGUGAAAACCACGGGCUUAACUCGUGGCCUGCAGUUGAAACUGUUUGGCUAGAGUGUGGGAGAGGAGAGUGGAAUUCCUGGUGUAGCGGUGAAAUGCGUAGAUAUCAGGAGGAACACCGGUGGCGAAGGCGGCUCUCUGGACCACAACUGACGCUGAGGCGCGAAAGCCAGGGGAGCAAACAGG